AGUAUUACAUCAGGUACUGGU
RNAcentral lists this microRNA (21 nucleotides) under Drosophila mojavensis. RNAcentral describes it as "miR-12-RA". RNAcentral also lists the same sequence under 5 other names. Lineage: Eukaryota; Metazoa; Arthropoda; Insecta; Diptera; Drosophilidae. The record is from RNAcentral.